GACGAACCGUCCAAACGUUGUUCGGAAUCACUGGGCUUAAAGGGCGCGUAGGCGGGUUCCCAAGUCGGUGGUGAAAUCUUUCGGCCCAACCGGAAAACAGCCGCCGAUACUGGGAGUCUUGAGGGAGGUAGGGGUCGAUGGAACUUCCGGUGGAGCGGUGAAAUGCGUAGAUAUCGGAAGGAACGCCGGUGGCGAAAGCGAUCGACUGGACCUUUUCUGACGCUGAGGCGCGAAAGCCAGGGGAGCAAACGGG
Molecule: ribosomal RNA, 253 nt
Filed under: uncultured bacterium
Lineage: Bacteria
Description: partial 16S ribosomal RNA
Rfam family: Bacterial small subunit ribosomal RNA
Source: RNAcentral